Molecule: ribosomal RNA, 455 nt
Filed under: uncultured bacterium
Lineage: Bacteria
Description: bacterial SSU rRNA
Rfam family: Bacterial small subunit ribosomal RNA
Source: RNAcentral
CACGAGUUUGAUCCUGGCUCAGGAUGAACGCUAGCGGCAGGCCUAACACAUGCAAGUCGAACGAGACCUUCGGGUCUAGUGGCGCACGGGUGCGUAACGCGUGGGAAUCUGCCCUUUGCUUCGGAAUAACAGUUAGAAAUGACUGCUAAUACCGGAUAAUGUCUUCGGACCAAAGAUUUAUCGCCUUUAGAUGGGCCCGCGUUGGAUUAGCUAGUUGGUGGGGUAAAGGCCUACCAAGGCGACGAUCCAUAGCUGGUCUGAGAGGAUGAUCAGCCACACUGGGACUGAGACACGGCCCAGACUCCUACGGGAGGCAGCAGUGGGGAAUAUUGGACAAUGGGCGAAAGCCUGAUCCAGCAAUGCCGCGUGAGUGAUGAAGGCCUUAGGGUUGUAAAGCUCUUUUACCCGAGAUGAUAAUGACAGUAUCGGGAGAAUAAGCUCCGGCUAACUCCGUG